UUGCAGCUUGUUACAGAGACCUUUUCUUUUCCUUUCCUUGCCGACACCAUAUAUUCUCUUAUCCAGCCAACCCUCUUGCCAAGUUCUCAGCUCUCUUUUUGCCUUGUAUAAAACCCUGCCUGCCCUUAAACCCCAAUCCUACGAUUUCAUCCAUUAAUUAGUGUUUUUGUUUGGCAAUAUGAGUGAUUACAAGUACGGCCACCCCUAUCCUCCUCCAGGUGGUUAUACUUAUAAUCAAGGGCCACCUCCACCAGUAAUGGCACCUCCUCAGUAUUAUGGUGCCCCACCACCGCCACCCAGGAGAGAACCAGGUUUUCUUGAGGGAUUCCUUGCAGCUUUAUGUUGUUGCUGUCUCUUGGAUGAUUGCUGCUGCGACCCGUCUGUGAUAAUUGUGGACUAGGGAUCUUACAUCACCUUACUGUUUAUCUAAAGCUUUGACAACAGUAUGAUUUCAUCACAUGUAUUUAUAUUUUGCCGAUGGAGUUGACAAAUCCAUUUAUGUAUUGUAAUAUGUGAAGCUUAGAUAUUCUCAAUGACACUUUCGAUUUUACAA
This is a long non-coding RNA of Gossypium raimondii (Peruvian cotton), 553 nucleotides long. RefSeq lists it as uncharacterized. The record is from RefSeq and is a predicted model, not a curated record. The transcript is spliced from 3 exons. Lineage: Eukaryota; Viridiplantae; Streptophyta; Magnoliopsida; Malvales; Malvaceae.